Non-coding RNA from Paramuricea clavata, 627 nucleotides. The record is from the annotation of a GenBank genome assembly. NCBI's taxonomy places the organism in Eukaryota, Metazoa, Cnidaria, Anthozoa, Malacalcyonacea, Plexauridae.
AACAAUGUCCAGACAAAUUACCUCAUUAUGGGUGCCAUGUCAAUUCGAAAGGAGACGGUGUGGAACAAGAAGAAUGAUAGAUAUGAUGGAUUCAUAAACUAUGGCACAGUAAACCCUGAAGAUCCAGAGACAUUAGCAUCUGAAGCACUAGUCUUUCUUUUGGUUGGAGCCAGAACACACUGGAAAUGUCCCAGUGUAUGGGUAUGGUCUACGGGUAUGGUCUAUCACUGCAGAUGGAACAUCAGUAAAUCUCAGCACCUUCAGUCUUCUUGGCUGUAAAUUUGGAACAACGUACAAGGACAUGGUUACAAAGUUCAAGCAUCCAACAGAAGAUUACCACGUAUACGUCAUAUUGGAUCCAUGCCACAUGUUGAAACUGGCAAGAAAUGCACUAGGAACACUUCAUUCAUUCAUUCACCGACAAUGAUGGUAAGGUCAGAUGGAGAUUCUUCAAAAAUUUGUGCUUAAUCCAGGAGGAACAUGGGUUGAAAAUGGCCAACAAGUUGUCCCCAAAACACCUGCAAUUUGAGAAACAUAAAAUGAAGGUUAACCUGGCGGCACAAACACUAAGUUCAUCGGUAGCAGAUGCAAUUGAAUUCCUAGAUAACCUAAUGGAGCUACCGGACU